RNAcentral lists this ribosomal RNA (73 nucleotides) under Candidatus Magasanikiibacteriota bacterium. Its description in RNAcentral is "Candidatus Magasanikbacteria bacterium partial 23S ribosomal RNA". Lineage: Bacteria; Candidatus Magasanikiibacteriota. The record is from RNAcentral.
AGACGAGGACGUUGAUAGGCACUAUGUAGAAGGCUGGUAACAGCUGUAGCAAAGGUGUACUAAUAGUCGAGCG